UAUUUUCACUUCCCAUUGUAGCUAGUCUGAGCCCAAGCCCACUCUCUGUCUGUUUCUUCUCCUCUCCCGAUUCCCACCCACAUCGCCGCCGCCGCCUCACCCACCGGCCACCUCGUCGCCGUGCUACCCACAGCCGCCCACCCUCCCUGCCCUCCCCUCACCACCUUCUCUCCCUUGGCGGAAGGAUCCCCUUCGACUCCCGUCGCCAUUCCUGACGACCCCGAAAUCUCCUCUCCUCGAGUUCAGAUCCGCACCACUCCAACCUACAGGCGAUGGCGUCGGCGAGGCUGGCCCCGAACGGCGUGGGGGCGGCGCUGGCGGGGGACACGAACCUCAAGCCCGUCGCGCACAUCUUCGCCGGGCAACUCAGCUACCUCCGCGGCACCGUCGUGCAGCUCGUCGAGUAGGACGGAGAUGCUCCUCCACAGUCGCUGCUGCACCGGGAGAGGAGGAGUACCUGAGUUAACCUGAGUUGUACUUACUAAUGAAGACGAACUCAAACCAUUCAAAACUAUUAAACUGAGCGCAUCCACUUAGACUCUUGCUUAGAAAAGAAACUUCCUUUUGCUAUGUUCUUGUUCUGCCUCUGAUCUUAAUUUGUUAUGAAAUUUGGAGGCUGCAGUGAUGCCUUUCUCGUUAACCUGAGACGUGCUCACUAAUGCAGAACAUUCAAAAUUAUUAAACUUAGUGCCUCCACUUCUACUUUUGCUUAGAAGAGACCCAUUUUUUGCUGUGUUCCCUUUCUGUUUAUGAUCUUUUUUUACGAAAUAUAGAGGGUGUGGUGAUAUGUUUCUCUUUGACCUGACCUUUUUGAUCUGUUGCUUCCCUGUUUCUGAUCUAAGUUUGUUACAAAAUCUGCUGGCUGCGGUGAUGUUUUUCUCGUUAACCUGAGAUGUGCUUACUGAUGAAGACAAACUCAAACCAUUCAAAAGUAUUAAACUGGGCGCCUCCAUUUCUAUUGUUGCUUAAGGAAAAAGAAUUAUUUUGCUCUGGCCCUUUUCUGUUUCUGAUCUAAGUUUGUUUCUACAUUUGGAGGCUGCGGUGAUGUUUUUCUCGUUAACCUGAUGUAUGUGCUUACUAGUGAAGACAAGCUCAAACCAUUCAAAAUUAUUAAACUGAGCACCUCCACUUCUACUCUUGCUUAUUUGGCUUCAAGUUCAUUUUUGCAAGUUCCGCUUUAGUAUUUGGUUAGGCACUUGUAAUCCCGCCAGUUUUUCUCCUCUGGUUGUUUGGUUCUAAAAGCCACCUGCACUGUUGGAUAUGGUAUCCCUGGUUACUAUUUUAGUAUUGCAGUAGCUAGGAUCUCGUUAAAGUUCAUGUGGAGGCAUCUUGUUUGUCAAUGCAUAGUUUUCUUUGCUAUCUAUCUGUUUGUGCUUUAUUUUUGGGAUUUGAGGCUGUAGUGAUGGUCUGUUGUGAUAAUUAGUGUCACUGUUUCUCUUCUGCUCUGUGUGUCCACGGCCAUCAUGCCGUGGUAAUGUCCACAGCCAUCGUGCCGUGGUAAGUUCGCCAUGGCAAUUUCUAGUUUUUUUGGGCUGUGGUGGUGCUCACCGUUUGAGUGGAUUUAGCCCCUGAGAUCUAAUUUAGGUGUGUUUUUAUCAAUUAGUGGAAACUAGACUUGGAACUCGUAUUUACUGUUACAUCUGCUUGUUUUCAAUUUAUUGCCUAUGAUUGAUGAACAUAGUCGACGUUCUCUGAUUUGUUUUGGUCUACUUGCAUGUGAAAGCUGCAUACCAAGCAUUUUCUCUGUUAGACAUGUCUCACAUUAUGCUCCACUGCAUCGUUUGCUUUUACUAAUUCUCCACACAAAUGAUUAUUUUGGAUGGACUCCAAAGUGUGAUCCAGUUUCUAGUUUGAUCUCUUCUUUUUGUUAUGUAUAAAACAUGAUCCAAAGUGUUUUAGAUUGCCUCAUGGUUUUGGCUUCUUUGUUGCCCUAUUAUUUGUUUGAGCUUAUUAUCCAUGGAAGAACCUUUUUGAUUGCUGAGUGCACAAGCUCUUCUAAAGCUUUGUUUCCUAUGACUCUUGCCCUUUUACAGCAAUUUUAUUUUCGGAAUUACUAUACUAUAGAUACUUCAUGCUAUGAAAAUCCUACCUCUUUGUUUUAUCAAAACUAAGUGGUUAUUUUAGAUUUAUUAUGUAGCUUGUAAACAAAAAACUACUUCUGCCUUGGACUUUUCUUCUGACCCUGCCUCUUUUGCAUUGUAAAAUCUACUCCCUCCGUCCCAUAAUAUAAGAUCGUUUUACAAGCUAAAGCAGCUUGCAGAACAAUCUUAUAGUAUGGGACGGAGGGAGUAGUUUUCAAACAUCAUUCCGUGAGAAAGGUGAUAUUUUUCUUGUCUUUUGGAACUACUUGCGCACUUAUCUAAUAUUUUUGUUUUCCUUGCAGCCUUAACACUUGUAUGUAAGCGUGGAGAGAGUUUGAUGGUGAUCAGGGGGUGGUAGUACAUUUGUAGCUGUAGCCAACACUUGGUUUUGUAUUUGGCACAAGUGGAGAGGUGCGUCGAUGACCCGUUGAUAUUCAGUUGCUGGGCAUCGUCCCCGUCAUGGCAUCCGUCUUCCAGCACACCAACGAGUGGUCGUCGCAGACGAUAUUGAUGAGGGCAUGCUUUCUGGUGCUUCUGCUUGCGGCCAGACAUGUGAGCAUGAGAUGGCCAAAGUUUUUCUGGAUCUCAGUGUGUGCUCCCUUGGCGUCCGUCAUCGUAUCCACCCUGCUCGUCUUCCUGUUCAAAGCGCAGAACCAUGCCAUCAGCAUCGUAGGAGAACAACAAAGACUGAGCUUCCGCCGCAGAUUAGGUCACUUAAAUGUGGCUUGAAUUGCCCCUCGUGGGACAAACUGCUCUUCGAUCUGACAUAUCUUGGACUUGCCAUGAAGACCGGCCUCGCCUCGUCACCGGAAUCAUCUCCCCUACAGAAGGAGUAGCAGUCGGUAUUUGCUUCAAUCAAGGACUACCAGGUGGAUGGCAACAAAGAGAUGAUGGCCACUGGGUUGAUGAGCAUUGUGGGCUCAUCUCCAGGAGAGGUGCGUCGAUGACCCGUCGAUAUUCAGUUGCUGAAGAAGGAAAGAUGGUGGUGAGUAGCAAGACGAAAUCAUUCACGGCUUAGUUAGUUUGUCAUGGUGUCAGAAUAGCUGAGUUGCUGUCGUGUUAAAUUUUUGUUGUGGAACAUAUCUCUCGCAGUUGGUAGUCUUGACUUUUUGUUCAUCACAAUCCUUAUUCGUCCAUUGCCAUAUAACUCUUUUAUACUGUUAUGCUGCUGGAAAUUUUAGCCAGAAAA
Molecule: RNA transcript, 3270 nt
Organism: Triticum urartu
Lineage: Eukaryota; Viridiplantae; Streptophyta; Magnoliopsida; Poales; Poaceae
Gene name: putative sulfate transporter 3.3
Source: RefSeq, a predicted model, not a curated record